Molecule: RNA transcript, 761 nt
Organism: Tripterygium wilfordii
Lineage: Eukaryota; Viridiplantae; Streptophyta; Magnoliopsida; Celastrales; Celastraceae
Gene name: 50S ribosomal protein L18, chloroplastic-like
Exons: 4
Source: RefSeq, a predicted model, not a curated record
UGCCUGAUAACGGAGACACGGAGGAAGAGGAGGGAGGUUUUGAGAUUCGAGAAUGGCUAUACCAUCUUCACUGUGUUUUCUUCCUCAUCACACCACAAAUUCUUUCUUAGGCUCAGUUCGAGGGCUUUCCACUCCUAUUCCAAGACCACCACCAAUCAAGCCGUCACAAUCUCCGUCCCUUUUGGUGGUGGAAGCCAAAGUUAAAACCAGAAGGGAAGAUCGAACUGCCCGCCAUAUCCGCAUCAGAAAGAAGGUUGAAGGUACCACAGAUAGGCCAAGACUGGCUGUCUUCCGGUCUAAUAAGCAUCUCUAUGUGCAAGUGAUUGAUGACAGUAAGAUGCACACUCUAGCUUCAGCUUCAACAGUGCAGAAACCCGUCUCUGAUGAAUUUGACUACAGCUCUGGUCCCACCGCUGAAGUGGCAAAGAAAGUUGGCGAAGUAAUUGCAAAGUCCUGCUUGGAGAAAGGGAUUACAAAGGUGGCCUUUGACCGGGGUGGAUACCCUUACCAUGGACGUAUUCAGGCACUUGCAGAUGCAGCUCGGGAGCAUGGCCUUCAGUUCUAGGAUAUGUAUGCAUGGGUAGGCUAGUUACUUGUUCUGUUGAGCAUCAUUUCAUUUUUUUUUCCUUCUCUUCUAACAAGGAUGGAAGGAUAACAUGCAAACUGCAGUUGCUCUGAACAUAUGAAAUCAAAAGCUUUUGGUUCUGUUUUGUCCUGCAAAUUUGAGGAAAAAUAAAAAGAUUUGAACUUGAACUCUGUAA